CAGGCCAAAUCAUGGCUGACAACGACAGCAAGAAGAUCGAUCUACCAGACGGGCUAUGCGUUGAAAUAUCUCCUGACGGUUGUACAUACCACGAUGGUCUUUGCUUCCAUUGUUUGGUAACUGACGUCUACUACCCCACUAUGGAUGACUGCAAGAGCAAUUGCAACAAAUCCUCGUCUUUACAAGACGUGCUAGUUGCCAUGACAACCUCCCCUCCUCCUCCUUUAUCUGCUCCUUAAUUUUCCGGCCUAGACAAUGGUUAUAUGUACAAGAUUGUCCCCUGAAAAUAAUGCCUAUGUGCGGAAACCAGUUAUGCAAUGCGAGUAAUAUACUGCAGCAGUUGUUGCUGAGUAUUUUGGUUUGGCAAAUCACAUUUGAACCUUUACUAGGAAUUGUUGGGAGAGCGAUGAAAUGACUCGCAAGCGCAGAUGCUCCGGAAAUCUGAGUGGUACAGCUUAGCUUGGGAUCUGUGUCGGUUAAAUCUGUGUCACAUAUACGUUUUAGAAUACAGAGGUGAAUACAUCUGCAGAUGGGCUAUACUGGACCAUAGUACUAACUCCUCGCAAAGUCGCAAGUCUCCUCUGUUCAAGUCCAUCGAUGUCCCAUGCAAAAUAAAAUGAAAUAAGUCCAUCGAUCUCUCACUUAAAAAGAGUCCUAUGGCUAUGGAUGACCAGGGAGGCCGCCCUUGGCCAAUAUCCGGCGCCGGUGAGUUCGUCUACCCUGUCAUGGUGGGUUUCUCAUCUAUCCUACCUCUCAUGAGGCGUCCGGUUCUUGUCUUUCCCAAGCUCACAUUAAUAUUCCCAAAUCAGCCCUCGGCCGGCCUUGGCGACAUCAUCUUCAUCCACUCCCGUGCUGCACACACCCAUUUCUCUGAUCUCUUAAAGCAACUCUAGCCGAGCCCAUAAAAGAUACAGGAGUAUUUGGCCGGGUAAACCUUAAUGGAGUAAAUUUAGUCCACUAAGUUUUGGUCGGUUCUAGCUGAUCCCCUAAAUUUAGCGGAGUAAAAUAAAAUUUGGUUAAGAUGAACAUAGAUUCGAUCUAAACAAACUUCUAAACCGAAAUUCGACACGUAAUUUACAUUAUCAUCCGUCGAAACAUAGUUCAAAGUGAUACUAAAACUUGAACUCAAACAUAAGCUAAAAUCUAAAUCUAACCAAAAAAAUUAGUCGCUAUUCGACUUUGCGAGGGAGAGCAAGUCCUCCCUAGAGAUUCCACCGCCCAUGGGGUCAGUCCCUAGGUCGUCUUCGUUGUAUCCAGGAAGGUCCUUCACCACUCCUCGAUGUUGAAGCUGUCAUCGUUGCCGCCUCCACUGCCACCAUUGUUGCCGCCUCCACCGAGCCAGCUCGUCAUCGACCAGCGCCCACGUGCAUCUAGGGAUCAUACAUUCAACAGGGGGUGACUCCAUGAGUCAGGUGAUCCACAAAAACCGCAUGAGCUAGAGUCCGCCAUAUGGCUGUGUGCCCAAUAUCAUUUGUUGCUAAAGAAUGUAUGGAUAGAUGCCAAAGGAACAGCCUCACGUUUCCCGGCACCAGAACUUUCCAUAAACUUUUCCAUGAGCCCUCUUCAGCAGCCGAGGUGGAGGAACCAUCCCUUUGAUCUAAGCAUGACUAUUGGAGAACUAAUUACAAUUAUGAAAUAUACAAAUAUAGACAUAGGAGAUAAGUCCAACCAAAUUUGGGAACUUGUCUAAAAAGGGAGAAAAUUAGUCUGACUUGAUUUUGCUUUUAAUGAGGGUUCAUAAUAUAGGAUGAUAUUAAAUAAUCCAAUUUUAUUGCUUGAUGGUUUACACGGGAUAAGGAUGACCGGUUCUCUCUUCUCUCAAUAUAUACGAUCGACUCAUGUGCUCAUUGGUAACCAAACAUUUCUCAUCGACAACCAAAGUGACCUGAGUGCCUGCGUAGCUAGUGUUGUAUCUGGUUGGCCAUGGACAAGUACACGAUUCGCAUCCUUGCACUAGGAGCCCUAGUGUGUCUACAUCUCGUAUGCUCUGCUACUGUUGCUCAAUGUAAGGCAGCUAGCAUACCAAUAUUUAUGUAUCUUCACAAUGCUUAAUUUUUCUUCACUUGUCCUGGCUGGAAGUAUGUACCUAGUAUAGCUAUCAAAGGCCUUUCUAUUUUGCUUUGUAACUGGUUCCAUCGUUUAUAUGCAUAUAUAUACAUACACACUACUCUAAAAUAAUUGCAUAACGAUGGUUGUUCGUUUGUUAUUACUCCAUAAUAUACAGGCCAAAUCAUGGCUGACACCGACAGCAAGAAGAUCGAUCUACCAGACGGGCUAUGCGUUGAAAUAUCUCCUGACGGUUGUACAUACCACGAUGGUCUUUGCUUCCAUUGUUUGGUAACUGACGUCUACUACCCCACUAUGGAUGACUGCAAGAGCAAUUGCAACAAAUCCUCGUCUUUACAAGACGUGCUAGUUGCCAUGACAACCUCCCCUCCUCCUCCUUUAUCUGCUCCUUAAUUUUCCGGCCUAGACAAUGGUUAUAUGUACAAGAUUGUCCCCUGAAAAUAAUGCCUAUGUGCGGAAACCAGUUAUGCAAUGCGAGUAAUAUACUGCAGCAGUUGUUGCUGAGUAUUUUGGUUUGGCAAAUCACAUUUGAACCUUUACUAGGAAUUGUUGGGAGAGCGAUGAAAUGACUCGCAAGCGCAGAUGCUCCGGAAAUCCGAGUGGUACAGCUUAGCUUGGGAUCUGUGUCGGUUAAAUCUGUGUCACAUAUACGUUUUAGAAUACAGAGGUGAAUACAUCUGCAGAUGGGCUAUACUGGACCAUAGUACUAACUCCUCGCAAAGUCGCAAGUCUCCUCUCUUCAAGUCCAUCGAUGUCCCAUGCAAAAUAAAAUGAAAUAAGUCCAUCGAUCUCUCACUUAAAAAGAGUCCUAUGGCUAUGGAUGACCAGGGAGGCCGCCCUUGGCCAAUAUCCGGCGCCGGUGAGUUCGUCUACCCUGUCAUGGUGGGUUUCUCAUCUAUCCUACCUCUCAUGAGGCGUCCGGUUCUUGUCUUUCCCAAGCUCACAUUAAUAUUCCCAAAUCAGCCCUCGGCCGGCCUUGGCGACAUCAUCUUCAUCCACUCCCGUGCUGCACACACCCAUUUCUCUGAUCUCUUAAAGCAACUCUAGCCGAGCCCAUAAAAGAUACAGGAGUAUUUGGCCGGGUAAACCUUAAUGGAGUAAAUUUAGUCCACUAAGUUUUGGUCGGUUCUAGCUGAUCCCCUAAAUUUAGCGGAGUAAAAUAAAAUUUGGUUAAGAUGAACAUAGAUUCGAUCUAAAUAAACUUCUAAACCGAAAUUCGACACGUAAUUUACAUUAUCAUCCGUCGAAACAUAGUUCAAAGUGAUACUAAAACUUGAACUCAAACAUAAGCUAAAAUCUAAAUCUAACCAAAAAAAUUAGUCGCUAUUCGACUUUGCGAGGGAGAGCAAGUCCUCCCUAGAGAUUCCACCGCCCAUGGGGUCAGUCCCUAGGUCGUCUUCGUUGUAUCCAGGAAGGUCCUUCACCACUCCUCGAUGUUGAAGCUGUCAUCGUUGCCGCCUCCACUGCCACCAUUGUUGCCGCCUCCACCGAGCCAGCUCGUCAUCGACCAGCGCCCACGUGCAUCUAGGGAUCAUACAUUCAACAGGGGGUGACUCCAUGAGUCAGGUGAUCCACAAAAACCGCAUGACCUAGAGUCCGCCAUAUGGCUGUGUGCCCCAACAUCAUUUGUUGGUAAAGAAUGUAUGGAUAGAUGCCAAAGGAACAGCCUCACGUUUCCCGGCACCAGAACUUUCCAUAAACUUUUCCAUGAGCCCUCUUCAGCAGCCGAGGUGGAGGAACCAUCCCUUUGAUCUAAGCAUGACUAUUGGAGAAUUAAUUACAAUUCUGAAAUAUACAAAUAUAGACAUAGGAGAUAAGUCCAACCAAAUUUGGGAACUUGUCUAAAAAGGGAGAAAAUUAGUCUGACUUGAUUUGUGCUUUUAAUGAGGGUUCAUAAUAUAGGAUGAUAUUAAAUAAAUCCAAUUUUAUUGCUUGAUGGUUUACACGGGAUAAGGAUGACCGGUUCUCUCUUCUCUCAAUAUAUACGAUCGACUCAUGUGCUCAUUGGUAACCAAACAUUUCUCAUCGACAACCAAAGUGACCUGAGAGCUUGCGUAGCUACUGUUGUAUCUGGUUGGCCAUGGACAAGUACACGAUUCGCAUCCUUGCACUAGGAGCCCUAGUGUGUCUACAUCUCGUAUGCUCUGCUACUGUUGCUCAAUGUAAGGCAGCUAGCACACCCAUAUUUAUGUAUCUUCACAAUGCUUAAUUUUUCUUCACUUGUCCUGGCUGGAAGUAUGUACCUAGUAUAGCUAUCAAAGGCCUUUCUAUUUUGCUUCGUAACUGGUUCCAUCGUUUAUAUGCAUAUAUAUACAUACACACUACUCUAAAAUAAUUGCAUAACGAUGGUUGUUCGUUUGUUAUUAUUCCAUAAUAUACAGGCCAAAUCAUGGCUGACACCGACAGCAAGAAGAUCGAUCUACCAGACGGGCUAUGCGUUGAAAUAUCUCCUGACGGUUGUACAUACCACGAUGGUCUUUGCUUCCAUUGUUUGGUAACUGACGUCUACUACCCCACUAUGGAUGACUGCAAGAGCAAUUGCAACAAAUCCUCGUCUUUACAAGACGUGCUAGUUGCCAUGACAACCUCCCCUCCUCCUCCUUUAUCUGCUCCUUAAUUUUCCGGCCUAGACAAUGGUUAUAUGUACAAGAUUGUCCCCUGAAAAUAAUGCCUAUGUGCGGAAACCAGUUAUGCAAUGCGAGUAAUAUACUGCAGCAGUUGUUGCUGAGUAUUUUGGUUUGGCAAAUCACAUUUGAACCUUUACUAGGAAUUGUUGGGAGAGCGAUGAAAUGACUCGCAAGCGCAGAUGCUCCGGAAAUCCGAGUGGUACAGCUUAGCUUGGGAUCUGUGUCGGUUAAAUCUGUGUCACAUAUACGUUUUAGAAUACAGAGGUGAAUACAUCUGCAGAUGGGCUAUACUGGACCAUAGUACUAACUCCUCGCAAAGUCGCAAGUCUCCUCUCUUCAAGUCCAUCGAUGUCCCAUGCAAAAUAAAAUGAAAUAAGUCCAUCGAUCUCUCACUUAAAAAGAGUCCUAUGGCUGUGGAUGACCAGGGAGGCCGCCCUUGGCCAAUAUCCGGCACCGGUGAGUUCGUAUACCCUGUCAUGGUGGGUUUCUCAUCUAUCCUACCUCUCAUGAGGCGUCCGGUUCUUGUCUUUCCCAAGCUCACAUUAAUAUUCCCAAAUCAGCCAUCGGCCGGCCUUGGCGACAUCAUCUUCAUCCACUCCCGUGCUGCACACACCCAUUUCUCUGAUCUCUUAAAGCAACUCUAGCCGAGCCCAUAAAAGAUACAGGAGUAUUUGGCCGGGUAAACCUUAAUGGAGUAAAUUUAGUCCACUAAGUUUUGGUCGGUUCUAGCUGAUCCCCUAAAUUUAGCGGAGUAAAAUAAAAUUUGGUUAAGAUGAACAUAGAUUCGAUCUAAACAAACUUCUAAACUGAAAUUCGACACGUAAUUUACAUUAUCAUCCGUCGAAACAUAGUUCAAAGCGAUACUAAAACUUGAACUCAAACAUAAGCUAAAAUCUAAAUCUAACCAAAAAAAUUAGUCGCUAUUCGACUUUGCGAGGGAGAGCAAGUCCUCCCUAGAGAUUCCACCGCCCAUGGGGUCAGUCCCUAGGUCGUCUUUGUUGUAUCCAGGAAGGUCCUUCACCACUUAUCGAUGUUGAAGCUGUCAUCGUUGCCGCCUCCACUGCCACCAUUGUUGCCGCCUCCACCGAGCCAGCUCGUCAUCGACCAGCGCCCACGUGCAUCUAGGGAUCAUACAUUCAACAGGGGGUGACUCCAUGAGUCAGGUGAUCCACAAAAACCGCAUGAGCUAGAGUCCACCAUAUGGCUGUGUGCCCAAUAUCAUUUGUUGCUAAAGAAUGUAUGGAUAGAUGCCAAAGGAACAGCCUCACGUUUCCCGGCACUAGAACUUUCCAUAAACUUUUCCAUGAGCCCUCUUCAGCAGCCGAGGUGGAGGAACCAUCCCUUUGAUCUAAGCAUGACUAUUGGAGAAUUAAUUACAAUUAUGAAAUAUACAAAUAUAGACAUAGGAGAUAAGUCCAACCAAAUUUGGGAACUUGUCUAAAAAGGGAGAAAAUUAGUCUGACUUGAUUUGUGCUUUUAAUGAGGGUUCAUAUUAUAGGAUGAUAUUAAAUAAAUCCAAUUUUAUUGCUUGAUGGUUUACACGGGAUAAGGAUGACCAGUUCUCUCUUCUCUCAAUAUAUACGAUCGAUUCAUGUGCUCAUUGGUAACCAAACAUUUCUCAUCGACAACCAAAGUGACCUGAGAGCUUGCGUAGCUAGUGUUGUAUCUGGUUGGCCAUGGACAAGUACACGAUUCGCAUCCUUGCACUAGGAGCCCUAGUGUGUCUACAUCUCGUAUGCUCUGCUACUGUUGCUCAAUGUAAGGCAGCUAGCACACCGAUAUUUAUGUAUCUUCACAAUGCUUAAUUUUUCUUCACUUGUCCUGGCUGGAAGUAUGUACCUAGUAUAGCUAUCAAAGGCCUUUCUAUUUUGCUUUGUAACUGGUUCCAUCGUUUAUAUGCAUAUAUAUACAUACACACUACUCUAAAAUAAUUGCAUAACGAUGGUUGUUCGUUUGUUAUUAUUCCAUAAUAUAUAGGCCAAAUCAUGGCUGACACCGAUAGCAAGAAGAUCGAUCUACCAGACGGGCUAUGCGUUAAAAUAUCUCCUGAUGGUUGUACAUACCACGAUGGUCUUUGCUUCCAUUGUUUGGUAACUGACGUCUACUACCACACUAUGGAUGACUGCAAGAGCAAUUGUAACAAAUCCUCGUCUUUACAAGACGUGCUAGUUGCCAUGACAACCUCCCCUCCUCCUCCUUUAUCUGCUCCUUAAUUUUCCGGCCUAGACAAUGGUUAUAUGUACAAGAUUGUCCCCUGAAAAUAAUGCGUAUGUGCGGAAACCAGUUAUGCAAUGCGAGUAAUAUACUGCAGCAGUUGUUGCUGAGUAUUUUGGUUUGGCAGAUCACAUUUGAACCUUUACUAGCAAUUGUUGGGAGAGCGAUGAAAUGACUCGCAAGCGCAGAUGCUCCGGAAAUCUGAGUGGUACAACUUAGCUUGGGAUCUGUGUCAGUUAACUCUUUGUCACAUAUACGUUUUAGAAUACAGAGGUGAAUACAUUUGCAGAUGGGCCAUACUGGACCAUAGUACUCAGUACUCGCAAAGUCACAAGUCUCCUCUCUUCAAGUCCAUCGAUGUCCCAUGCAAAAUAAAAUGAAAUAAGUUCAUCGAUCUCUCGCUUAAAAAGAGUCCUAUGGCUGUGGAUGACCAAGGAGGCCGCCCUUGGCCAAUAUCCGGCACCAGUGAGUUCUUCUACCCUGUCAUGGUGGGUUUCGCAU
RNAcentral lists this long non-coding RNA (7409 nucleotides) under Triticum aestivum (bread wheat). Its description in RNAcentral is "long non-coding RNA (TAES_LNC011022)". The record is from RNAcentral. Lineage: Eukaryota; Viridiplantae; Streptophyta; Magnoliopsida; Poales; Poaceae.